Molecule: ribosomal RNA, 446 nt
Filed under: uncultured archaeon
Lineage: Archaea
Description: partial 16S ribosomal RNA
Rfam family: Archaeal small subunit ribosomal RNA
Source: RNAcentral
GGCGCAGCAGGCGCGAAACCUUCGCAAUGCACGAAAGUGCGACGAGGCUACUCCGAGUGCCAUCCGCUGAGGAUGGCUUUUGCCAGGUCUAAACCGCCUGGAGAAUAAGGGGAGGGCAAGUCUGGUGUCAGCCGCCGCGGUAAUACCAGCUCCUCGAGUGGUCGGGACGAUUAUUGGGCCUAAAGCAUCCGUAGCCGGUUCUGUAGGUCUCCUGUCAAAUUCAACGGCUCAACCGUUGAGCUGCAGGAGAUACCGCAGGGCUAGGAGGCGGGAGAGGUCGCCGGUAGUCUUGGGGUAGGGGCAAAAUCCUCUGAUCCCAGGAGGACCACCAGUGGCGAAGGCGGGCGACCAGAACGCGCUCGACGGUGAGGGACGAAAGCUGGGGGAGCGAACCGGAUUAGAUUUGGAAAGGAGAAAUAUCCUUCCACUGAAGACCCGCGUAGUCC